This 254-nucleotide ribosomal RNA is filed under the name uncultured bacterium. RNAcentral describes it as "partial 16S ribosomal RNA". It matches the Rfam family "Bacterial small subunit ribosomal RNA", at positions 524 to 771 of the family's 1533-position model. The record is from RNAcentral.
CACGUAGGCACCAAGCGUUGUCCGGAUUUAUUGGGCGUAAAGAGCUCGUAGGCGGUUCAGUAAGUCGGGUGUGAAAACUUUGGGCUUAACCCAAAGCGUGCAUCCGAUACUGCUGUGACUUGAGUACGGUAGGGGAGCGGGGAAUUCCUAGUGUAGCGGUGAAAUGCGCAGAUAUUAGGAGGAACACCGGUGGCGAAGGCGCCGGCUACUGGGCCGAAACUGACGCGUGAGGAAGCGAAAGGCGUGGGGAGCAA